Molecule: ribosomal RNA, 245 nt
Filed under: Deltaproteobacteria bacterium
Lineage: Bacteria; Pseudomonadati; Myxococcota; Myxococcia
Description: partial 16S ribosomal RNA
Rfam family: Bacterial small subunit ribosomal RNA
Source: RNAcentral
UUCAACUGGAGAGUUUGAUCCUGGCUCAGAGCGAACGCUGGCGGCACGCUUAACACAUGCAAGUCGAACGAAGGCUCCAGCUUGCUGGAUGUCCUUAGUGGCAGACGGGAUAGUAACGCGUGGGAAUUUGCCCAAUAGUACGGAAUAACUGCGGGAAACUGCAGCUAAUACCGUAUACGCCCUCCGGGGGAAAGAUUUAUCGGUGAAAGAUGGGGCCGCGUUAGAUUAGCUAGUUGGUGAGGUAA